This 63-nucleotide transfer RNA is filed under the name Helotrephes sp. NKMT027. RNAcentral's name for it is "tRNA-Asp". The record is from RNAcentral. Lineage: Eukaryota; Metazoa; Arthropoda; Insecta; Hemiptera; Helotrephidae.
AAAAAGUUAGUUUAAUAAAAACAUAAAUUUGUCAAAUUUAAAAUAAUUUAUGAUUACUUUUUA